This 600-nucleotide ribosomal RNA is filed under the name uncultured Alphaproteobacteria bacterium. RNAcentral describes it as "bacterial SSU rRNA". It matches the Rfam family "Bacterial small subunit ribosomal RNA", at positions 54 to 691 of the family's 1533-position model. Lineage: Bacteria; Pseudomonadati; Pseudomonadota; Alphaproteobacteria. The record is from RNAcentral.
CAUGCAAGUCGAGCGAGAAGCUAACUUCGGUUGGUGGACAGCGGCGCACGGGUGAGUAACGCGUGGGAAUUUACCUUUCGGCGGGGGACAACAGUUGGAAACGACUGCUAAUACCGCAUACGCCCUACGGGGGAAAGAUUUAUCACCGAAAGAUAGGCCCGCGUUAGAUUAGGUAGUUGGUAGGGUCAAAGCCUACCAAGCCGACGAUCUAUAGCUGGUUUGAGAGAACGAUCAGCCACACUGGAACUGAGACACGGUCCAGACUCCUACGGGAGGCAGCAGUGGGGAAUCUUGCACAAUGGGCGAAAGCCUGAUGCAGCCAUGCCGCGUGAGUGAGAAGGCCUUCGGGUUGUAAAACUCUUUUAGAUGUGAAGAUGAUGACGGUAACAUCAGAAAAAGCACCGGCUAACUUCGUGCCAGCAGCCGCGGUAAUACGAAGGGUGCUAGCGUUGUUCGGAAUUACUGGGCGUAAAGAGCGUGUAGGCGGCUUAGCAAGUUAGAGGUGAAAUCCCAGGGCUCAACCCUGGAACUGCCUUUGAUACUGCUAAGCUUGAGAUCGUGAGGGGAUAGCGGAAUACCCAGUGUAGAGGUGAAAUUCGU